Gorilla gorilla gorilla (western lowland gorilla) is the source of this 502-nucleotide long non-coding RNA. RefSeq lists it as uncharacterized. The record is from RefSeq and is a predicted model, not a curated record. The transcript is spliced from 3 exons. NCBI's taxonomy places the organism in Eukaryota, Metazoa, Chordata, Mammalia, Primates, Hominidae.
GAUAGGAAAAAAGACAAGGGAUAUGCUACAGCUAUGGGACCCCAUCUUAGGCAAGCAGCAUUAGAAGGGGAGCUCUUAGCCUGUCCAGUAAUGCAAGAUCAACAAGGCAAUCAGAAUGCAAAGCCCGAAUAAGAGCAAUGACCACCUCGCCUAACAGACCUGUUGCUGCACACAACGGUGCAUGACUGCUCUCUCUGGGGGAGGGCGACCAGAUUAAUUACCCACAAGUGUGUUGACUCAAAGCGUUUGUCAUUAAAUCUGUGCUGAAUAAAUGCCCGCAGGGCCAGCUAGUCAGGGCGCAUGGCUGCCACAAAUCUUUCUGUGCACGGCCGGGCUUCCUAGCUGCUCUUUCACUGAAUAUCAGUGUCUGAGUGUGUUAUUCAUCCAUCAUGCAGCCUGGGUCUGUGGGUCAGACCCCCGCAUUUCUGUGUCCACUGCUAACAUCUAACUUCAAGAAAUGAUGGAAGGUCACACUUUGGAGCUUCUCUAUGUGCUUGUAUGA